RNAcentral lists this ribosomal RNA (229 nucleotides) under uncultured bacterium. Its description in RNAcentral is "partial 16S ribosomal RNA". It matches the Rfam family "Bacterial small subunit ribosomal RNA", at positions 568 to 796 of the family's 1533-position model. The record is from RNAcentral.
UGUGUAGGCGGGCUAAUAAGUCAGUGGUGAAAUCUCUCGGCUCAACCGGGAAACUGCCAUUGAUACUGUUAGUCUUGAGUUCGGUUGAGGUAGGCGGAAUGUGUAAUGUAGCGGUGAAAUGCUUAGAUAUUACACAGAACACCAAUUGCGUAGGCAGCUUACUAGACCGACACUGACGCUGAGGCACGAAAGCGUGGGGAGCGAACAGGAUUAGAUACCCUGGUAGUCC